GUUUGGAUAGCUCAGCUGGUUAGAGCGCACGACUGUUAUCAUCAAGCAAUCGUGAGGUCGAGAGUUCAAUCCUCUCUCUGAACG
This is a non-coding RNA of Atractiella rhizophila, 84 nucleotides long. NCBI's taxonomy places the organism in Eukaryota, Fungi, Basidiomycota, Atractiellomycetes, Atractiellales, Hoehnelomycetaceae. The record is from the annotation of a GenBank genome assembly.